UCUAUAUUGUUCUAUGGUAGCAAGCAGCAGUUGCUAUGGUGGUUUACCUGAGUUUACCUGUGAUCUGAAGUACGACCAGUUGAAAAACAUGGUAACGAAUCCGCGCGCCAACCUGAGAUUAUACCACGGACCUCCGUUUUGGCGUUUUAUACAUUUGUGUACCAGAGUUACGGAAACGUUUUACAGCAGUGGUACCUAUUUUUUUCUCAUUAUUUCUUCUCAAGAUAUUGUUUUUAACCAAUAAUUACGCGUCGUGGCAGGUUUGUAAGUUUAAUAAGGUUUUUGAUUAUGGUUCGCUCUAAUAACCAAGCGAUUUGUUUAAAUUAUCAACGACAUUCUAUCAUUCAAAACAGCAAUGAAUCGAGAUUGUUCUCGUUUCUUAAAGAAGAAUUACAUUACAUUUAGGUGUAGUCGUGCCAUCGAACAAAACAAACUUGGAUACCAGUGAAUUGAAAAUAUGUAAUUUGGGAAUCUGCUGUGUCUAGAUAUUUCAAUGUAAUUGUAAGAG
Molecule: long non-coding RNA, 508 nt
Organism: Acyrthosiphon pisum (pea aphid)
Lineage: Eukaryota; Metazoa; Arthropoda; Insecta; Hemiptera; Aphididae
Exons: 3
Source: RefSeq, a predicted model, not a curated record